AUUGAACGCUGGCGGCAUGCUUUACACAUGCAAGUCGAACGGCAGCGCGGGCUUCGGCCUGGCGGCGAGUGGCGAACGGGUGAGUAAUACAUCGGAACGUGUCCAGUAGUGGGGGAUAGCUCGGCGAAAGCCGGAUUAAUACCGCAUACGACCUGAGGGUGAAAGCGGGGGAUCUUCGGACCUCGCGCUAUUGGAGCGGCCGAUGGCAGAUUAGCUAGUUGGUGGGGUAAAGGCCUACCAAGGCGACGAUCUGUAGCUGGUCUGAGAGGACGACCAGCCACACUGGGACUGAGACACGGCCCAGACUCCUACGGGAGGCAGCAGUGGGGAAUUUUGGACAAUGGGCGAAAGCCUGAUCCAGCAAUGCCGCGUGUGUGAUGAAGGCCUUCGGGUUGUAAAGCACUUUUGGCGGGAACGAAAAGGACUGUGCAAAUACCACGGUUCGAUGACGGUACCCGCAGAAUAAGCACCGGCUAACUACGUG
Molecule: ribosomal RNA, 484 nt
Filed under: uncultured bacterium
Lineage: Bacteria
Description: partial 16S ribosomal RNA
Rfam family: Bacterial small subunit ribosomal RNA
Source: RNAcentral